This 114-nucleotide small RNA is filed under the name Marmota monax (woodchuck). The record is from RNAcentral. Lineage: Eukaryota; Metazoa; Chordata; Mammalia; Rodentia; Sciuridae.
GCCAGGCACAGUGCAGAGUGCCUGUAAUCCUAGCACUUGGGAGGCUAAGGCCAGAGGUUAACUUGAGCUCAGGAGUUUGAGGCCAGCCUGAGCAACACAGUGAGACCUCCUUCU